This 253-nucleotide ribosomal RNA is filed under the name uncultured prokaryote. RNAcentral's name for it is "partial 16S ribosomal RNA". It matches the Rfam family "Bacterial small subunit ribosomal RNA", at positions 524 to 776 of the family's 1533-position model. The record is from RNAcentral.
UACAGAGGUCUCGAGCGUUAAUCGGAGUUACUGGGCUUAAAGGGUGCGUAGGCGGCGCUGUAAGUGCUUUGUGAAAUCCCAUGGCUUAACCAUGGAAUUGCUCGGCAGACUGCAGCGCUUGAGGUCGGUAGGGGUCGCUGGAACUCUAGGUGGAGCGGUGAAAUGCGUAGAUAUCUGGAGGAACACCGGUGGCGAAGGCGGCGUUCUGGACUGCAACUGACACUGAGGAACGAAAGCCAGGGGAGCAAACGGG